This 310-nucleotide ribosomal RNA is filed under the name uncultured bacterium. RNAcentral's name for it is "partial 16S ribosomal RNA". It matches the Rfam family "Bacterial small subunit ribosomal RNA", at positions 503 to 807 of the family's 1533-position model. The record is from RNAcentral.
AAGAGACAGCAGUCGCCACGGUAAUACGUAGGGUGCGAGCGUUAAUCGGAAUUACUGGGCGUAAAGCGUGCGCAGGCGGUUAUGUAAGACAGAUGUGAAAUCCCCGGGCUCAACCUGGGACCUGCAUUUGUGACUGUAUAGCUAGAGUACGGUAGAGGGGGAUGGAAUUCCGCGUGUAGCAGUGAAAUGCGUAGAUAUGCGGAGGAACACCGAUGGCGAAGGCAAUCCCCUGGACCUGUACUGACGCUCAUGCACGAAAGCGUGGGGAGCAAACAGGAUUAGAUACCCGAGUAGUCCCUGUCUCUUAUAC